GUAGACGGCUCAGCGGUUAAGAGCACUUGUUCUUACGGAGAGGACCUGGGUUCAAUUCCCAGCACCUACA
This 70-nucleotide transfer RNA is filed under the name Mesocricetus auratus (golden hamster). It matches the Rfam family "tRNA". Rfam says of the family: Transfer RNA (tRNA) molecules are approximately 80 nucleotides in length. Their secondary structure includes four short double-helical elements and three loops (D, anti-codon, and T loops). Further hydrogen bonds mediate the characteristic L-shaped molecular structure. tRNAs have two regions of fundamental functional importance: the anti-codon, which is responsible for specific mRNA codon recognition, and the 3' end, to which the tRNAs corresponding amino acid is attached (by aminoacyl-tRNA synthetases). tRNAs cope with the degeneracy of the genetic code in two manners: having more than one tRNA (with a specific anti-codon) for a particular amino acid; and 'wobble' base-pairing, i.e. permitting non-standard base-pairing at the 3rd anti-codon position. Lineage: Eukaryota; Metazoa; Chordata; Mammalia; Rodentia; Cricetidae. The record is from Rfam by way of RNAcentral.